ACGGAAGGCAGCAGUGAGGAAUAUUGGUCAAUGGACGCAAGUCUGAACCAGCCAUGCCGCGUGCAGGAAUAAGGCCCUAUGGGUCGUAAACUGCUUUUGUGGUGGAGCAAUAAGUCGUACGUGUACGGCGAUGAGAGUACAUCACGAAUAAGCAUCGGCUAACUCCGUGCCAGCAGCCGCGGUAAUACGGAGGAUGCAAGCGUUAUCCGGAUUUAUUGGGUUUAAAGGGUGCGUAGGCUGUGGUCCAAGUCAGGGGUGAAAGCCCGGAGCUCAACUCCGGAACUGCCUUUGAUACUGGAUUGCUGGAAUACUGUUGCCGUGGGAGGAAUGAGUAGUGUAGCGGUGAAAUGCAUAGAUAUUACUCAGAACACCGAUUGCGAAGGCAUCUCACGAAACAGCGAUUGACGCUGAGGCACGAAAGCGUGGGGAUCAAACAGGAUUAGAUACCCUGGUA
This 454-nucleotide ribosomal RNA is filed under the name uncultured Rikenella sp. RNAcentral's name for it is "bacterial SSU rRNA". It matches the Rfam family "Bacterial small subunit ribosomal RNA", at positions 341 to 792 of the family's 1533-position model. Lineage: Bacteria; Pseudomonadati; Bacteroidota; Bacteroidia; Bacteroidales; Rikenellaceae. The record is from RNAcentral.